RNAcentral lists this unclassified non-coding RNA (395 nucleotides) under soil metagenome. RNAcentral's name for it is "partial contains 5.8S ribosomal RNA, internal transcribed spacer 2, and large subunit ribosomal RNA". The stretch from base 1 to 122 matches the Rfam family "5.8S ribosomal RNA", at positions 35 to 154 of the family's 154-position model. The record is from RNAcentral.
GAUGAAGAACGUAGCGAAAUGCGAUACUUGGUGUGAAUUGCAGAAUCCCGUGAACCAUCGAGUCUUUGAACGCAAGUUGCGCCCGAAGCCAUCAGGUUGAGGGCACGUCUGCCUGGGCGUCACAUAUCGUUGCCCAAUGCCUAUUGCAGUGCAAUAGGAAUUUCUAGGGCGAAUGAUGGCUUCCCGUGAGCGAUGUUGCCUCGCGGUUGGUUGAAAAUCGAGUCCUUGGUAGGGUGUGCCAUGGUAGAUGGUGGUCGAGUUAGAACGAUACCGAUCAUGUGCAUGCUCCCCAAAAUAUGGCCUCUAUGACCCACACGCGUCUUUUGACGCUCAUGACGAGACCUCAGGUCAGGCGGGGCUACCCGCUGAAUUUAAGCAUAUCAAUAAGCGGAGGA